Molecule: ribosomal RNA, 1463 nt
Filed under: uncultured Klebsiella sp.
Lineage: Bacteria; Pseudomonadati; Pseudomonadota; Gammaproteobacteria; Enterobacterales; Enterobacteriaceae
Description: bacterial SSU rRNA
Rfam family: Bacterial small subunit ribosomal RNA
Source: RNAcentral
AUUGAACGCUGGCGGCAGGCCUAACACAUGCAAGUCGAGCGGUAGCACAGAGAGCUUGCUCUCGGGUGACGAGCGGCGGACGGGUGAGUAAUGUCUGGGAAACUGCCUGAUGGAGGGGGAUAACUACUGGAAACGGUAGCUAAUACCGCAUAACGUCGCAAGACCAAAGUGGGGGACCUUCGGGCCUCAUGCCAUCAGAUGUGCCCAGAUGGGAUUAGCUAGUAGGUGGGGUAACGGCUCACCUAGGCGACGAUCCCUAGCUGGUCUGAGAGGAUGACCAGCCACACUGGAACUGAGACACGGCCCAGACUCCUACGGGAGGCAGCAGUGGGGAAUAUUGCACAAUGGGCGCAAGCCUGAUGCAGCCAUGCCGCGUGUGUGAAGAAGGCCUUCGGGUUGUAAAGCACUUUCAGCGGGGAGGAAGGCGGUGAGGUUAAUAACCUCAUCGAUUGACGUUACCCGCAGAAGAAGCACCGGCUAACUCCGUGCCAGCAGCCGCGGUAAUACGGAGGGUGCAAGCGUUAAUCGGAAUUACUGGGCGUAAAGCGCACGCAGGCGGUCUGUCAAGUCGGAUGUGAAAUCCCCGGGCUCAACCUGGGAACUGCAUUCGAAACUGGCAGGCUAGAGUCUUGUAGAGGGGGGUAGAAUUCCAGGUGUAGCGGUGAAAUGCGUAGAGAUCUGGAGGAAUACCGGUGGCGAAGGCGGCCCCCUGGACAAAGACUGACGCUCAGGUGCGAAAGCGUGGGGAGCAAACAGGAUUAGAUACCCUGGUAGUCCACGCCGUAAACGAUGUCGAUUUGGAGGUUGUGCCCUUGAGGCGUGGCUUCCGGAGCUAACGCGUUAAAUCGACCGCCUGGGGAGUACGGCCGCAAGGUUAAAACUCAAAUGAAUUGACGGGGGCCCGCACAAGCGGUGGAGCAUGUGGUUUAAUUCGAUGCAACGCGAAGAACCUUACCUGGUCUUGACAUCCACAGAACUUUCCAGAGAUGGAUUGGUGCCUUCGGGAACUGUGAGACAGGUGCUGCAUGGCUGUCGUCAGCUCGUGUUGUGAAAUGUUGGGUUAAGUCCCGCAACGAGCGCAACCCUUAUCCUUUGUUGCCAGCGGUCCGGCCGGGAACUCAAAGGAGACUGCCAGUGAUAAACUGGAGGAAGGUGGGGAUGACGUCAAGUCAUCAUGGCCCUUACGACCAGGGCUACACACGUGCUACAAUGGCAUAUACAAAGAGAAGCGACCUCGCGAGAGCAAGCGGACCUCAUAAAGUAUGUCGUAGUCCGGAUUGGAGUCUGCAACUCGACUCCAUGAAGUCGGAAUCGCUAGUAAUCGUAGAUCAGAAUGCUACGGUGAAUACGUUCCCGGGCCUUGUACACACCGCCCGUCACACCAUGGGAGUGGGUUGCAAAAGAAGUAGGUAGCUUAACCUUCGGGAGGGCGCUUACCACUUUGUGAUUCAUGACUGGGGUGA